This 157-nucleotide unclassified non-coding RNA is filed under the name uncultured fungus. Its description in RNAcentral is "sequence contains ITS1". Lineage: Eukaryota; Fungi. The record is from RNAcentral.
AUUGAUUGUAAUGUAAUGUAAUGAUAUGUUACACACAACCUAACCCUAAACGAGAUGUUGUUGGAUGAUGACAUGAUGAUGAUGAUGGAUGACAUCACCAUGAUGUCAUGUCCACCAAACAAGCUAUUUUUUUAUUUUUUAUUUUAUUUUUUUAUGA